Molecule: microRNA precursor, 63 nt
Organism: Oryctolagus cuniculus (rabbit)
Lineage: Eukaryota; Metazoa; Chordata; Mammalia; Lagomorpha; Leporidae
Gene: ocu-mir-361
Product: ocu-mir-361
Source: Ensembl
UUAUCAGAAUCUCCAGGGGUACUUACAAUUUGAAAAAGUCCCCCAGGUGUGAUUCUGAUUUGC